AUCAUCAUCACCGCCACAAACUGCAUCGUCUCGGAUGGAGAUGUGCAGACGAUAUCUGAGAAUUAGGAUUGCUGCUGAUGCAUCCAUGGCUUCAGCUGUUGGGUCUAGAAGAGCUUGGAGUCGUGCUUUGCUUCUCAAGAUUCGAAGCAGCAGACAAUCCCGGUCCUCUAAUUCAUCUACCAGAAGAAUAAGCAUGAAAACGAAAUGCUUAGGGAAGAAGAUGAAGAAGAAGAAGAAGAAGCUCAAGUGUAGUAAGGAGAUCACCGAUCUUCGGAAGUUCGUACCUGGUGGCGAAGCCAUGGAUGCUUGCAGUUUGUUGGAUGAGGCUGCUCACUACAUAAGGAGCCUCAGCACUCAGGUACAGGUGAUGAAAAGGAUUGCGGAUGUUUACUCUGUUAAUUAAUUAAGCGACUACUUAUGUGUUCA
RNAcentral lists this long non-coding RNA (426 nucleotides) under Fragaria vesca (wild strawberry). Its description in RNAcentral is "long non-coding RNA (FVES_LNC005622)". The record is from RNAcentral. Lineage: Eukaryota; Viridiplantae; Streptophyta; Magnoliopsida; Rosales; Rosaceae.